ACAUCCAGCGAACUUGGCAGAGAUGCCUUGGUGCCUCGGAACGCUGAGACAGGUGCUGCAUGGCUGUCGUCAGCUCGUGUUGUGAAAUGUUGGGUUAAGUCCCGCAACGAGCGCAACCCUUAUCCUUUGUUGCCAGCGAUUCGGUCGGGAACUCAAAGGAGACUGCCGGUGAUAAACCGGAGGAAGGUGGGAUGACGUCAAGUCAUCAUGGCCCUUACGAGUAGGGCACACACGUGCUACAAUGGCGCAUACAAAGAGAAGCGACCUCGCGAGAGCAAGCGGACCUCAUAAAGUGCGUCGUAGUCCGGAUCGGAGUCUGCAACUCGACUCCGUGAAGUCGGAAUCGCUAGUAAUCGUGGAUCAGAAUGCCACGGUGAAUACGUUCCCGGGCCUUGUACACACCGCCCGUCACACCAUGGGAGUGGGUUGCAAAAGAAGUAGGUAGCUUAACCUUCGGGAGGGCGCUUACCACUUUGUGAUUCAUGACUGGGGUGAAGUCGUAACAAGGUAGGCGUAGCGAG
This 521-nucleotide ribosomal RNA is filed under the name uncultured bacterium. Its description in RNAcentral is "bacterial SSU rRNA". It matches the Rfam family "Bacterial small subunit ribosomal RNA", at positions 984 to 1509 of the family's 1533-position model. The record is from RNAcentral.